This 322-nucleotide ribosomal RNA is filed under the name uncultured microorganism. Its description in RNAcentral is "bacterial SSU rRNA". It matches the Rfam family "Archaeal small subunit ribosomal RNA", at positions 330 to 651 of the family's 1478-position model. The record is from RNAcentral.
GCGCAGCAGUCGCGAAACCUCCGCAAUGCUCGAAAGAGCGACGGGGGACGUCCAAGUGCCUACGCUUUGCGUAGGCUUUUCCCAAGCCUAAAAAGACUUGGGGAAUAAGGGCUGGGUAAGACGGGUGCCAGCCGCCGCGGUAAUACCCGCAGCCCGAGUGGUGGCCGCUUUUAUUGGGCCUAAAGCGUCCGUAGCCGGUCUGGUAAAUGCCUGGGUAAAAUCGUCUGGCUCAACCAGACGAAUUCCGGGUAGACUGCCAGACUAGGGGACCGGAGGAAGGAGAGGGUACUCCGGGGGUAGGGGUGGAAAUCAGCAAGGUGAG